This is a non-coding RNA of Rattus norvegicus (Norway rat), 18779 nucleotides long. The record is from RefSeq and is a predicted model, not a curated record. NCBI's taxonomy places the organism in Eukaryota, Metazoa, Chordata, Mammalia, Rodentia, Muridae.
AAAAAAAGUGCAGAACCUGGAACAAACACAUUAGCCGAGUCUGAUGAUAUUCAACCAGAUCUUUUUCGUGGACUCGAUCAGGGACCCAGAUAGACAGCAGAACAGAAUGUGGCACAAACACAUCCUCUGAGGUCAGAGGCCUUGCAAAGCACCCUCCUCAAAAGCAUUCCGGGUCUGAGGCGUGAUUUUAAGACAACACAGAACAACCUUACCAAGACAUGGACACAUGAUCAAUCAGAGUUCUGCAGCCCCCCCACAUACUCGGAGUCUGAAAGCAAACCUAGACUUUUUAUUACUUUUUUAAAACAAUAGCCAGAACCAGAAGCAAAGAUAAAGUGAAGGCAAAGGUUUGCUUGGUUGUGUUUUAGAUGGCUGUUUUCUUGUGGGGGGAUUUUUUUUGUCAUUUUUUUUCUGUUCUUUCCUUUCUUUUUUUACAAAUAUAAAUAAAACAAAAAUUCUAACUCAAAAAAAAUUUAGUAGUUCAACAGAAGUUCUUUGCUGUGUUCUAGACAUUUAUAGGCUAUGUCACAAUUCAAAGUCCAAGGGUAAAACUGGAAGUUUAGAACUGUUUGGUAAUCAUGUGUCAAAAGAACAAAGUUCUGGAAACACCUUUUAUUCAGUUAACACUUGGAGUUUUCUGAGCCACAGUUUUUGACAAAGCAUGAAGACCAGUACCCUGGUUAUAACUUAUUAACACAUUUUAUUAUAAUGUUCUAAAACUCAGUGGUAAACAUUGUCGCUUAAACACUUUAUAUGCCAUUCAUCAGAGGAAGUAUAAUCUGUCAUAGUGCCCUACUUUGGAAGGAAAGUGAAGCUUGUUAAGGAUCCAGGAGAUAUAAUAAGGUUCAGUAUUAUAAAUUUACCCUGUGGGUUUACCCUUAGUUCUGUGGCGGAAACUGCCUCGAACCUAUGUUGUUAAUAAGGCAAGCAUUAAUUACGUGAGACAUGUUGUAAAAGCCAUCCCAGAGGCUAACCUGAUCUAGAAAACUUGGUACACACACACACACACACACACACACACACACACACACACACACAGCAGGAGUGGGGUGUGAUCUUUACAUAUCUCAGUCACUCAAAAUUGGCUAUAUAUUGUAAUGAAACGAUAGCAUUUUGGUCACCUUGUGUUAAAUAAAUAUAUUGUUGAUAUUUUUUUUAGUGUGGUUACCACAAACUGUAAAAAUAUGCCUGUAGCUUAUGUUUGUGACUCCCAUGUGUUCUAAACACAGGAAAAAGAAUGGGAAAAUACAGUCUCUGUCCCCAAAGAGUAUGGAAUAAAGGGUAGAAGUUGGGAAAAAGAGAACAGGGCAGAGGGCUGGGUUUCAUCUACAACACAAGGGCAAAAGGUAAAUGAUGGAUUUUUCUGUAAGAAAUCUGAGCUUUCUGGUUUCUACCUCAGGUAUCGUGUAGGAAAGAGUAGAGUCGGAAGAACCUUCAGGUCCACCCAUGAAAGGUGUUUCAGUCCUGUCCUCUUUAAGAAUGCAGUCAGUUAAAUGUUUAAUUUCACAUGAGGGCUGCUUCUUGAGCGCUGUAUUGGUAAGAUGGCGUCUAAGGAGCUUUCUGUUGAUAGUUAUCAGUAGAGGGGCUCAGCCUCAGUUAUGGGUUUGUGUAUUGGCUCUUUACCCUAAUUCAUGGAACACUAAAACUUAGAGUAAUCUAGCCUCAGCGGCCCCACAACGUCACUCAACCACAUUUUCUCUCAGUUGUUGUUGGGUUUUUUGUUUGUUUGCUUGUUUUUGUUUUUUUCAACAAACCCCCUCAAUCUCACCAACUAGAAUGUCAGCUCAGGGUUUCCUAAAGGGCUUCUAGAGUCAAUCCUUGUAUAUUACCCAACCUGAGGGAGCUGUAGGCCUUCUUACUGCCCGAUGGCCCAAUAGUGCUUCAGGCUUAUUGCUAAGCGCCAAAGUAGGCACAAGGUUCCUAGGGAGAUACUCUUCCUUCCAGAGCAGGAGGGCGAAUUCUUAAUGGGAAGUGUGUGGAAAACUCAAUGGCCUGGGCAUGCCCACCAUCAACUCAGACUUGUUUCUAACGCUACUUCUCUCUAGAAUGUUAUAACGUGUCCUUCCUCCUUCCCUACACUGUCCUUGAAAGCCUCGCUAACCAUGGAAGAGUGCAUGAAAGGUAUUUUUCAAAUAGUGUGAUUAUCAAUGACCGUCUAGCUCAAACGCUGCACAGAGAAGAGUGCCCAGAGGACAAUAGAAGUUCAAAGGGAGAGUAUUUCACCCAGUUGGGUAGUUAAGGCUUUCCAGAACAGAUGUUGCUUGUUACUUAUCUCAUUCAUACAUCUUAACGGAGGUCUGUUGUGUGUCCAGUUCAAGAGUUUUGUGCAGGGAAACAAGAUAGGAGUUUCUGACUUUAUUCAGGUUAGUGGCUGAAGACAGAACACCACACCAGAAACGGUAAAGAAGCUGAGCUGUCGUUCAGUGAUACUCAGGAAAAUAAUUCACAGCGCUAAAACAAAAGAUGACUCUAACGUGAGGACAUACAGGAGAUAGUUAGGAAAGAUCUCUGAAGUGGUGACACUUACAGUGAGUCUUGAGGGAUGAGAGUUGCCAGACUUUAUAAAGCCCUAGGGACAGAGAAAUGGCAGGAGAGGACUUAGAGGCUGAGGCCCUGAGGUAGGUGUGUGUGUGUGUGUGUGUGUGUGUGUGUGUGUGUGUGUCCGUGCGCACGUGCAUGUGCACUCGGGCAAGUGAGUGUACAACAGCAAACUGAGGCCCAUGUAUAAACUGCGUUUUGAAAAACUAACAAGUUUCCCACACAGUUGCUAGGGUAGCAGACAGGAGAGAGAGGAAGAAAGGGUGGUUAUUUCAGAGAAAGGGAUUCAUAAAUGAUAGAAUGUAGGAACUGACAUUUAAACCAAGGUAAAGUGGAUCAAAGUUGCAAUGAAUAACAACCAAUGCUCUAUUGUAUUGGGCUUGUUGUCGUAUUGGUAGUGUUGAUCAGAUGCAGUGUUUCCCUGUAUAUUGCCAAGAAGAAAAGGAGUGAAUUGAGUGUUGGGUCCUCCCCACACUGAGUCUUGACGGUGCUCUAUGUUGUCAGCACUAAGUGUUUGCUGAAUGCCUGCUAUUUCCCGGGGAUUAUAACAAAUGCCUUACAUAACUUGGUUCUCCCAUUUAACCCCAGCGACUCCCAAACCUAUGUCCCUUCCACUCUUUUUUUUAUUAAAUUAUAAUUGUGGAGUGUAAGUGGGAAUAGUAGCCAGUGAAUAAGGCCUCAGAGCACAUCAUCCCUUAUCCUGGAGAAUCUUAUUGUGUAGAAUGAUAAUGUUUGUGUUGGACUUGGAAGACGUCAUUUGCCAUAUGUCCAUCUUUGAGGGACAUACCUUAUUAGCCUAGAAAGUGAUUUAUAAAAUCAGAAUGCCAGUUUACUGUUGAGAGUACAAAAAGAGACUCAACCACCAAAACCCACACAGCUCACUUUCUAGACUCACCUGCAAAGAAAGCCAAGUAAUUGUCAAAACAUUGGCAAGACAUCAAAUUGAAAGGGGAGUUAGAGCUCCUUUAAGCUUUUGGGUUGAGAUAACAAAAUAUAUUUGUUUUUCAAUACAGUCAACUAUACCAGUUAUAAUAGAGCUAUACUAGGGCCAUAAAGCUACCAAAUUAACCAAUACCACUUUAAGGCUAGCUUUACAGUGAAUUGAGAGAACAUGAAGUUCACUGCUAAUUACCUUUCUUUUUUUUUUUUUAGAGGGUUUAAAUAUCAACCCCGCUAAUUACCUUUCUUCUGAGGAUCAUAUUUAACUGGCCACAGUCAGCAUUUAUAGCUAUGACAUCUUUCAAAGAUAAUCAGUUCAUGACCAGUCAUCAGUAUAUCUAUUUCUCGAUAUCAUUUCUCAUUAUUAGUCAUGUUAAAGUCGAAUCUUAAUGCCUGGGUAACUGUUGCUUCUUCAGAGUGACUUCCUUCUGACUCUACUGUAGUAGGUGUCAACUUAGUCUUUACAAUAAUCAAGUUUUCAAGUCCUUCCGAGGCACCUCAUUGUAGAUUUUAUGUUCAUUAUCUUUUUUCCUUGUUGCCAUAACAAAAUACCCGACAAAACAACUUAAGGAAGGAAGGGUUUGUGUUUUGAUCACAUCUAAGUGACAAGUCCAUGAUGGUGGAGAGGGGAAGGGUGAAGGGAGGGGGAGGUGGCUCAUUCCACUCUGUGUGCAGUCCUGAGGCAGAGAAUGGACAGACCACGAGACCAGCCUACGAAAUCUGAAGCCUGUCGCCAGUGACCCUUUCCUCCAGUGAGACUCUGCCCACUAAAGUUAACAGAACAUCUACAGCAGCACUCAGCUUAGGACUAAGAAAACCGCAGUAUUAUCCCUUACUUGGGAUCUAUGGAAGGAGGAAUGCAUUAGGACAGUAGCCAGCCCUCAGUGGCUUCACUUAUGAAGUGUGAUUUCAAGUGAGUUCUUCCUACGCUAGUCACAGAACACAAACAUACAUGAAUGUUAAAGUCUGAGAAAUAAGACGAUUAAAUACCUUAAAAGAACAAAUGUAAGGCAAGAUACUUUCUGUAGAGAUCCAACUGAGCUGACUGUAGCUACCUUAUUCAUAAAAGGCACUUUAUCCACCAGGUGAGUCUUGACACUCAUUCCAAAUCCUAUAGGACAAAUAAAGCCAUUCAUAUACUUAACAAGCUUUUCAAUAUUGACGGGCCACUACUCCCCAGGACUAUUUCUUAAUAGAGAUUUGAUAUUUUAAUUGUUUUUGAAAAAUCCCAAGGUACAUUACAGGAAGCUGUGACCCACUUUGGCCUAUCUUAUCAUGUAAACUGUGAUGAUUUGAAUGAGAAUGGCUUUUACAGGCUUUAUUUGAAUGCUUGAUCCCCAGUUGGUGGGCUGUUUAGGAAGGAUUAGGAGGUGUGGCCUUGUUUGAGAUUUAUCAAUGGGUAUUGGCUUCAAGGGUUCAAAAGCCCAUGCCAAGCCAAAAUCUUCUUUUCUCUCUCUCUCCUCCUCCACCUUCUCCCUCCCUCCUUUCCUCUCUCACUUCCUCCUCCUCUUUUCCCCUCUCUGCCUGCUGUCCGUGGACCAGAUAUAACCUCUCAGCUACUGCUCUAGCACCAUGCCUAACUGCCUGCUGUCUUGUUCCCUGCUAUGAUGGGUAUAAGCUCACCCUCUGAAACUGUAAGCAAGCCCCUAAUUAAAUGCUUCCUUGAUAGGGCAUCUCUUCCCAGCAAUAUGAAAGAAACUAAGUUAUAAACCCUUCCUCCUGCCUUGGGUAUAGGUGUCUGCCUGGCAUGCUGCUGUCCACAGAGCAUAGAUAAUUGGCUUUGGAUCCCUUCUUACAGUCUCUCUACACCUUCCCCAUUUAGCUGCCAAUUCUGGUACACUGUGUUCUCCCAAAACACCUUCAGAAGACUUUUAGACUAGUAAAGGAAUCCUUUUUAUAAUCAAGCAAUCAUUUACUUCCCUCUGCAAUCUAAAAGAAAGGAUGAAAGGCAAGAAUCACUCCCAGGGAAGGGUAUUUCCUCCCUCUAUGCAAGAAGGUGGUGAUACUUCUCUCUCUACCCAGCAGGUCAAGUCAAAGUUUGGAGUGUUAAGAUAAAGGGAGGUUGACAUUUUCUCCUGACUGACUGGAUGCACAAUCCUACCCCUAACCGAGGAGCUAUUGGCAAUCGUUAGCUGCUAAGGAGGAAGGUUUUUCUCUAAGAGCGUAGCCCUUGAUAAAUUGACCAUGAUCUAGGGAAAGACCAUACAUUUAAGGAUAUUUGUACAACAUAAACUGGCCUACAUAGUGCAUGGGGAUACAAAGUUAGGUGAAAAAAGAAGCUGGUGGAUCUAGGAAGCAUUAGGGGAGAGAACAUGAAUAUGACCAAAACUCAUUGUAUAAAUUCUCAACAAAUAAAAAAAAGUGUUUUUUGUUGUUGCUGGUGGUGGUGGUGUUUUUUGUUUGCUGCUUUGUUUUUUGCCACUUCUAGGAAGGUCUCGUUGACAGCCCCAAAGUACACAUAAACAGAAAUUUGUUCCUGCUCUGGGUCUACAGUUUUCUGAAAGAAAAACUUGUUGGAAAAGAACAGAAAAGAAAAGAGAAGUAUUCUGUAAUACAUUCAGCCAAUGCCUGGGAAGAAGAUACGGGAUCUCUAGUAGACUACCACAACAUUAAGCCAGAAUGAAUGAGAACCCUAGUGGUUCCCACAGGUACCAUCUAAAGGUUAGGAGCAAGUGCUUCAGUUUGGCUUCACCACCCUGUGGUAUUUGUAGCUGUUUUCAACAGUCCCUGAUGGCAAUAUAUGUAAAAGCCAUGUGUACUGGCUGGUUUUGUGUCAACUGGACACAAGUUAGAGUCAUCAAAGACUUCAAUUGAGGAAACGCCUCCAUAAAACCCAGCUGUAAGGCAUUUUCUUAAUUAACAAUCAAUGGGGGAGGGCCCAGACCAUUGUGAGUAGCACCAUUCCUGGGCUGGUUGGUGGUCCUGGGUUUUAUAAGAAAGCAGGCUAAGCAAACCAUGUGAAGCAAGCCAGUAAGCAGCACCCCUCUAUGGCCUCUGCAUCAAUUUCUGCCUCCAGGUUCCUGCCCCGUAUGAGUUCCUGUCCUGACUUCUUCAGUAAUGAACAGUGAUAUAGAAGUUAUAAGCUGAAAGGAUUAUAAACCCUUUCCUCCCCAACUUGCUUUUUGUUCAUGGUGUUUCGUCACAGCAAUAGAAAUCCUAAGACGCCAUCUCCUCAACGGUUGUACCCAAAGGCUGGAAGAAAGAGUCAAACAUCCUUCUCUAAGUCUCUUUGGGAGAACAAAGUGACUUCUCAUUGACUUUGAAGACAUCACAUUGGGCAAAAGUGCAUCAUGUGCCUUUCCUGAAUAUACCUCAAGGAUCAUGAUUAGCAAUGUUUUCCUAAAAACACUCAAAUUUUUGUUCAUGGAGAAGAUAUAAAUGGCUGAAUGAUAAUGGCUUUUAUAGUGUAAUGUGGGAGGUUCCCCAAUAAGGGAGUUCCUCCUACCAGCCUGCUUCCUGUGUGGAGGUCUAUGCCUGGAGGCUCCAUGGAGGUUGAAUGGGGUUUUAUUACCGCCCCUGUGAAAGCCGAUUGGCUGCUGGUUAACCGUUGUGUUCUAGGGACUGGACUCAGGUCUCAGGCUUGGCUGCAGCUGAGGUUCCCUUGCAUGAUGGGUGCAUGAGUCACAAGUGUACCGGAGCAAGAGAGAUCAUCUUUUGACUAAGAAAUGAAGGGUGGAAAGAGGAGGGGUCUUGGUACUUCUGUGACCUUCCAGGGUAUUUCUCUAUUGACAUGAGAAAUACCACUGGCACCCACCUCUCGAAAGUCACCACUUCACUGGGAACCAAGCCUCAACACAAGGCCCUUGGGGUGUGGGGGGCAUUUAGAUGUAACACACAAAUGUACUAUCUUCUGUUUCCAGAAUGUUUCCCUCUGGUGGUUUUUUUUUUUUUUUUUCUUAAGGAGGGUCCAUCUGAAAGAGCCAGAUUUGGGGUCAAUCUAAGGCCAGUGGGAAAGUUGCACCGAAAACCUCCAAGCACAAAGACCCCUCCCUUCCAGGGAGUAGUUAGUUCCUGGAGCAACUGCAAACCAAGCUGUCAAACAAAAUCACCUGUAACUCCCAACCAACCUCUCCUUGACUGCCAACCGUUCCCCCCUGGAAAGUCCAGAAUGGUCCACUGAUUACGAGUCAGCUUGGAGGUCACUUUACCCCAUCAAUAAUACCCUGCCUAGUUACCAAUUGUUUGAAUUCUGCCCCAAUUGUUUGCAAGGUAUAUAGCUCCCUGUCAUAGUCUGCUCCCUUGAAGUGGGAGGAUCCUAACAUGUCGGAAUUAAACUCUUCUUGCUAGUGUAUCGAUCACUGUCUCUAUGAGUCCCAGGCUGGCUGGGAUGGUGACACCUGAGGCCUUUCCUUGUACUGGCUCCCAGCCUUCAGCAAUUUCAUAUCCUUCUGCAACUGGCUAGUCCCAGACACUUUCUCUGGCAAUCUAAUGAAUGUGUUAUCAGCAAAUUCCAGGGAAUAGGCCACCACAGUGACGCCCACAUCUUUCAGUGAUUCCCAGCCCACCUCUCCUGCACUUUGAGCCUGGCUUAGACUGUGGUAGAGAACUCCUCUUCUGUCACUUACCUCACUCAGAGAUAGGGGCUGCUUCUCAGAUUUGCUAUUUCUACAUCCUCUAAAGUUCUCUUUACUUCUUGACCUAUCCCCUCAAUUAGUUAAGCUGCUUAUUUGGUUCAUUCUUUAUAUUGAACUUUUCUGUUUAAAUGGCUGUGUGUUUUCUGCUUUGAUUGGGUCUAGACAGAGAGAGGAAAAUAUGCUAAAUAAACAAAACAUUAAGAUUUUAGAGUCUUUCUGGGGUUGGGGAUUUGGCUCAGUGGUAGAGCGCUUGCCUAGCAAGCACAAGGCUCUGGGUUCGGUCCCCAGCUCCGAAUAAAAGAAUAGGAAAAAACAAAAAGACUUUAGAGUCUUUCUCUGAAAAUAUUCAUGGGAUGAUUUUCAUGGAUCUAUUAGCGUUUAAGGAACAGUCCUGUCAAGUUCCGAAACAACUCGUAGGACUAAAUUAUUGCCUAUAUUGCUGCUAAGAGUCAAGAUAAAAACCACGGUCUUCCUGAUGCCAAGCAUCAGAGUGACAGACUAGUCCUUCAGAUGCAGAUAGCCCAGGUCAGGCAUCGUUCAGAUGGGGAGGGCUGAUGCUGGCAGCUUGCCAAGUGGCAGGGAGCUCACAAGGAGGAGGAGGAGAGCUGGGUCACACCUACCUAUUUGAGUUCUUCAUCCGUUUAAUUAGAUGAGUCAGUCAGUCCUUCCCAGGGAAAGAAGCCUCUGGGUGUUUAGUAGGGAAGGGGUGGAAUGGCCAGGCGCAUACAAUAAUUCCUUCUCUAUGGCUCCCUUCAACAGAAGUCAUGCCACUUCCAUAUGACUUCUGUGACUUUCACAAAGACCAAAUAGAACAUAGGUGUAAUUUUUGGUUUUCAUCUUUAAAACUCACAUUUAGUUAGUGUGGACAUGUGUCUGUGUGUGUGUGAAUGUGUACUUGUAUAAAGGUCAGAAUAUAGCUCUUACUGUGUGGAAACUGGGGAUCAAACUCAGAUUGUCAGGCUCCUUGGCAAACACUUUUAUCCUCUAGUGAGCAUUCUUACCAGCUGAACCCUCUCCCCAUCCCUAAGACAGGCUAUCCUGUAUAUCCUCAACGUGUAAUUGGCCUCAAAUCCACAGUUCUCCUGCCGCAGCCUCCCACGUGCUGAGGUUACAAACAUGCCAGCACUGCUGGCUUACAGUUGGGCUCUUAACGAGUUACUUAAAAUGCCACAUUCAUAACCUCCCAGUGUCAGUGUAUGGGAUAAAAUAAUGUCAGGGGUUGUUUUGAUUUAACAAGGAAUUAAGCACAGAGACCAUACUAAACAUAACCAUAGGGAGUUCUCACUGUAGCUGACUCUAACUCUGGCUGAUUUAAACAGAAAGGGGAUUUCUUGAAAUAAUGCUGAGUAUCUCAGACAAUUUGGACAAAGCUGGAGAGACGUGGAGAGUGAUAGAUAGCAUGUCUGGUCAGCCAGCAGAGGGAUGAGAGCCCUCUCCAGGACACCGAGGCGGUGGUUUGUGUCACCAGUUCUAGAUCUUUCAGCUGCUGUGAGAAAACGUUCCCAGAUUGCCUCACUUCUUUGCAACAGAAGCCACAGUUGCACUUUUGCUCAGCCUGUGGAGUGACAUGAAAGAGAGGUGGUUUGCUGUUCUGAUCUUCUGCUUGUGGGAAGAAAAGACUGGGGUGGGGGGGGAGGCUCAGUAGUUAAAGUGCAAGUGUGAGGACCCCAGUUCAGAUCUUCCGGUUCCACAAACUCUGGAAGCAGGAGCCAGGGCCAGGUCUGUAAGUUCAGUACUUCCAGAGUGAGGUGAGAGGCAGAAGUAGGAGAAUCCCCAGAAGUUUCAGGCCUGAGAGCCUGGCAUAUACAGAGGUGAGCAACGAGAGGCCCGCCUCGGACAAGGUGGGAGGCAAGGGCAUGAAUUUGUCCAGUGACCUCCACGUGUAUGCAUACAGUGUGAUUGAAAUUACAUGUGUAGAGGCAUGCACACACACAGGGGAGGGGCAGAGAGAGACACACAGAAAUUUUUUUUUAAAUAAUAGAUUAAAAAAUCUCAGAAAAUUCUUUAAAUUAUGGAAUAGGGCUAAUCACAAACUAUAUCUGGCUUACCUGCAAUUAGCCCAGUGUUUCAUGAAUAAAAUAGGUCAUGGCUUCUGUUUUUAAAUAAUUAAGAAGUUAAUAGGGGUUGGGGAUUUAGCUCAGUGGUAGAGCGCUUGCAAGGCCCUGGGUUCAGUCCUCAGCUCCGGAAAAAAAAAAAAAAAGAAGUUAAUAAUGCAAUGUUUGUUUCAUUCCAGCUACAUGAAUCAUAAGAAUAAACCAAAAAAAAUUAAAUUAAGUCCCCACACUUAACUAUUUCAUACAUUUUCACUACUUUUUAAAGUUAGAACUAUUUACUGUACAGACGCAGUGAUUUGGAAUAUCUCCUCAGCUGAUACUUUGAAAAGACAGCAGCCAAACUUUCACUUCUCCUUUCCUCUCUUAAGUCUUCAGUUUUAUUAUUGAUAUAUAAUAUCAAUAUAUAUAUAUAUUGAUAACUAGUUGAGCAUGCCAAUUCAUAACUAUUCUUUGUCUUAACAUUUGCUGUUAUACAGUGGCCAUUUUGAGAGUAAACUUAUGCUGGAAUAUAGGAAAUUACUAUUUUAAAGUAAGUUCCAAAGUGGUGUGCGGUGUGUUAGACUGGAGCCCUGCAAGCAUGAUAUUCACUUCUCUUUUCCUUUAAGGGCAGCAAUUUUAAAUCCUGACAAAACAGCGUUGCUUAUACAAGAUAUCUUCAGUAAGCACUUGUCAGCGUUUCUUAUGUUCCUGAAUAUCUUGUAGGAUAACCACCAUUUCAUCUUCACGUAUAAAAUUAAAAUACAGAAAAUAUUAAAAAGGAAAAAUUGAAAGAUGUUUGUGACGGUCCCUGUUCUUAGUUCUGCAUGUUGUUAGCCUGUAGCUUCUCAGGCAAUCCUAUCUGAAAGCAACAUUCUGAUUGCAUCAUAAUGAGGAUCAUAAGCUUGACUGAUGAGUAUUAACUUCUGAGCCUGUGUAGUAAAAGCUGGCUACUAAGCCCACAGGCAAAGCACCAAAUCCUCACCCAUGAUCACUUUCUCAGAAAAACAAAGUCUAUUGGGCAAGGCUUCAAAGGGCAAGGCUUCACGUCUUAAAGGUUCCACAGUCUUCUAAAACAGCACCCUAGUUAAAGACCAGUUCUUCAAACACAUGAAGCUAUGGGAGGAACACUGAGAAACAUUCUCUUCAGAUAACUUGUGAUGCACACCAAAUGAUGCUGGUAUGAUUUCUUAGGUUUUUACCACUGGAACACUUUUUGUUUUGUUCUUUUCUUGUUUUAGACUUCCUAUCCUUAUAGACUUAUGUUUGUAGAAAAUACAUGUAGUAGCAUUACAGUUGAUUUUCACAAGGGAACAGGUGUCUUUAUGUUACUGGAGCCUAGUGCCCAGGCCCAAAAAUGGUAGAAAUGAGGCUGGUCAGGCAAAGCUUUUAUUGGAAUCUAUCUAGGUGGGAGACAUAGUCUGGAUCAGGUGGUGGCUCCCUAAAGAAAGAAAAACAGGGAGUUAGUUACAAGAGAGAUGCUGCCCAAAGUUCCCAUCUAGGUCCUUCAUUAAAACAAAGAGCUAAGGCACAAAGACUGCCCUGUCCUAGCAGCUCAGCAUCCACUCUCCGUUGUAGGCGGCUCACUGGUCAUCUGUGACUUCAGACUUCUGUCUUCAUGGACCACAUGUCAACCCUCACUGGGCCUAUUGAGGGCCUAAUUUGUCUGGCAGGGGGAGGAAGUCCUCCUCCCCCAGUUAUCUCUAAAGCACUCGUCUCUCAGGGAUCAGCCAGCAAAACAGAACAAACAACAGGUGCAUAAUAAGAGAUUUACCUCAAGGAAUUGGCUAGUGUAGAAUUGGACCUUAUAAUCUUCUCUAACAUUGCCCAGCUGUACUCCUUAGUUAUAGGUAAAAAUAAAACUCCGCAGUACCUACAUCAGUGUUUGAUGAAUAACCAGGAACUAUAAUGUCCCCUGGGUGACACAUAAAACUCACCAUGGGAGUUGGUGUUCUUACAGGGAACUAGUCCUUUCUUUUGAAAAUGGGAAACAUCUUAACUCUAGGGUUCACCUUGGAAACUCAUUUGAUUUCCAUGCAUACCACCCUGAUUCUUGCUGUGAGAGAGCAAUGAACCUCGGUAGAGUCUCCUUGAUAUCCUAACUCUUCCUCCCCUUGCUCUCUAAGUGAGCUUUCAGGGUCUCUCUCAGCCUCUCUGGUUGUCAUCCGUAGCAUGCCUAGGCUUCUCACCUCACCUAUUUCAUGGUCUUCCUGGCCGUGCUGAUUGUUCCCCUUUGGCUCCCAUCCCCACAGACAACUCUUGCUUGUUGUCUCCUCCUGGCUCAUGCACAUUGAAAGCUCAAAUAUUUCUCUGGGUGGAAAAGGCAAGGAGAAAAAGGGAAGUUUUAAUAUUGCUUCAAACGUCUUCACAGUUGAAUCCAAUGCAAUGAAACAAAGUUAAUGUCAUGCUAUAACAAUAUCUGUGACUGAAAGAUAAGAACACAUUAUCCUGAUACUCAGUUGAGGUAUCACCAAUCGCGUGAUCAAAAAUUAUCUUUAUUCAGUGUGACCUCUAGGGGCCUAAGGCUGCUAUCCCAACUGUGCUCACCAAACAAACUCUGUUUCCAGCUUUUUGUUAUCUUAGCUGCCCCAGGCUUACGUGAAGGGCUGCUCACACACCCCCUGUUCCUACUGGUGACAGUCCCUAAUGUCACUAUUCCAGCCUUGUGAGUAUGGAACUCCUCCCAUAGCUGUUCAUUUUGAAGUACAAAACAUAGAAUCUUCAAUUUUCCCAAGCUGACUCUGAGGCCAUGCUGCAAUAUUUAACAAGUGCUCAAGUGCUGGAAAGGAAUUCAGGUCGCUUGUCACCUCUUGUAUGGAGCAUUGGUUGUUUUUAAUAUAUGUUAAAUCUGCACAACAAUUUUUUAGUUUUUUUUAUCUUUUAUUUGUAGAUAAACAAAUCAAAAGUCACUGCAGGGAUUCCAAUCAAGACUUGUCUGACCAUGCUGCACAAAUAAAAAUUCAGAUAUCAACAUAAUCUUUAAAUUUCACAUGUGGUGCUGGGGAAAUGGCCCAGCAGACAAUGUGCUUGUGUGUAAGCAUGAAGGACAGAGUUCAGAUUCUCAGCACCCAUGUAAAAGCUAGGCAAGAGUAAUUCCAGUUCUUAGAAGAUGGAGCUAGAGGACUCCUGGGGCAAGCUAGCUAGCUGGACCAGCCAAAUCAGUGAGCUCUGGGUUCUGAAAGAGAGCCUGUUUCAGUAAGUGAAAUGGAGAGUGAUUGAGAAAGGCAUCUGAUGUCAUCCUCUGACCUACACACACACACACACACACACACACACACACACACACAAUACAUGACAUUUCUUAUUUUAUUUGUAGUUGAGUACAUUUUGGAAAGUGUAUACCCCAUAGUUCAUAUUUUUAACAUAUAAAACAGCUCCACAUAUUUUAACUUGUGCGGGUUUUAAAUAGUAGUUGCUAAUUCCACUAAACUCAAGUACACCAAUAUUUUAUUUUAUCUAUAUAAGUCAUUGGUACUAUUUUGGCUAAUGUAUGCUAUCUACUAUAUCUUCAUUACCUCUGAUUUCUCAGCCAGAAAUGUGGAAUCAUGGUCUUCCUCUUGAGAUUUCAUUAAGGUAAAGGCUGUUCCCCUUUAAAAUAUCUCCUUUUAUAUCUGAAAACUGAAAAUUUUGUAGUGAGAAGCUAUUUCUAACAUUAAAGAUUGUUACCUUGGUCCAAGUGAGCCACUUUAUAAGUAUAAAGACUCCUUCAUGUCCUUACAGAGAGCCAGAACCUCAAAACCAUUGCCUGUGAUCUCUGUUGUUUAGUUAUCUGUGCAACCAGUAAGACUUGCUCUAUGUAGGGUAGAAAUACAGUCAUUUAAAAAAAAGCUUAACCAGUCAGCUCUUUGUAAAUAAAUUUUCUUUAUUCACAAGAACUAACAUACGUCAAAGCCUGUGUUCUCUGCCUAAAGCAUUUGAGUUCAGUCCAAAGCAAGCAAAGCACUUAUGUUUUCCAAAUAACAGGGAAAGGACAGAGGGAGGAAGGGAAGAAAGGGGGGAGACAGGUCAGGAGGAGAAUAACUUUUCAUCUCUGGGAAGAAAAGAGGUUAAAAACUAAUUUAGGGGGUUGGGCAUUUAGCUCAGUGGUAGAGCGCUUGCCUAGCAAGCGCAAGGCCCUGGGUUCAGUCCCCAGCUCCGAAAAGAAAAAAGAAAAAAAAAACUAAUUUAGAAAGAUGGUGGUGGUACAUGCCUUUAAUCCCAGCACUCUGGAGGCAGAGGCAGGCAAAUCUCUGUGAGUUCAAGGCCAAUCUGGUCUACAGAGUGAGUUCUAGGAUGGCCAGGGCUAUACAGAGAAACCCUAUCUCAAAAAAACAAAACAAAACAAAACAAAAAAACAAAAACAACAACAACAAAAAAAACCCAAAAAACCAAAAACAAAAAACCAAAAAAAAAACAAAAGUAAAAACCCCAAAACCAACUAAACAAUAAUUUCAGUUCUUGGUCUUGAAACUCCCAUACCAUGAGUGAAAGGGGGGAAGGGGAAGUGAAUGUGCAGGCUGAAGUAUGUGAGAGGCAGAUGAGGCAGUGGUCCACAUGGAUUAGCCUGUGCAGGUACAGAGGCCAAACAAGUAGAAAUAAGGGAUGCUGGAGGCCAGGUUGCUGGAACAAUCUGUCAGACUGUGAGCUUCCCCGGUGUCUCACUGGAUCUGGAACUUCACCGUCUGAUCACCAAAACUGCCUCUAGGAAGUUGCUGUGCUUUCACUGCAGACAGGCCCAGCUGGUCCUCAGCCUGUGGCGUUUUGGAUGGUUCUCACCUGUUCCUUCUUACAAGUCCUCACUUGUGGCCAAGUGUCACCAGUAUACAGUAAGUAAUCCUUUGCUGUCUCAGCUAAAGAAUAAAAAGUAAUGAAAAAUAGGUUCAGGAAAACCUUAAAGACUUUUUCUUUUUUAAAAAAAAGAUUUAUUUAUUUAUUUAUUUAUUUAUUUAUUUAUUUAUUUAUUUAUUUAUUUAUAUGACUACACUCUAGCUGUCUUCAGACACACCAGAAGAGGGCAUCAGAUCCCAUUACAGAUGGCUGUGAGCCACCACGUGGUUGCUGGGAUUUGAACUCAGGACCUCUGGAAGAGCAGUCAGUGCUUUUAACCACUGAGCCAUUUCUCCAGCCCCCAAGACUUUAUUUUCUAAUAAACACAUUUUUGUAACUAGAGUAAUAAUAAAGUAAUACUCUUGGCCAGGGAAGAAUGAAUAACAAUAUUCUUUAAAAACAAAAAUGUGGCAGGAGGCUAUGUACCAUGUGGGUCAUUGUCUUAGUCUCUUUUCAGUUACCCUAGCAUAUCUGAGACUGGGUGACUGGGUGUUUUAGUUUUAUUUCCUCUUUCUGUGAUAACAUACCCUCGUAAAAGCAACAUAAAGAAGAUAGGUUGUAUUUGGCUCAUAAUUUCAGGUUGUAGUUUAUUAAUGUGAGAAAGUCAAGGCAGCAGGGACUUAAAGCAGCUAGUCAUGUCCACAGUUAAGAGCAGAGACAGAAUAAAUGCAGUUAUGCUUGUCCUCAGUUACUUCUCCUCUGACACAGUUCAGUAUGCCCUGCGUAGGGAAUGGUACUACCCACAGUUGGCAUGCCUUAUCACCUCAGUUAGCUUAAUCAAGACAACCAUCUUAGACUCACCAGUGCUCAUCUUUAACCCCAGGCAUUGGAAAGCAGAGGUAGGAGGAUCUAUAUAGAGAAUUCCAGGUCAGCCAAGGCAACAUAGUAGACCCUGUCUAAAAAAAAAAAAAAGAAGAGGAGGAGGAGGAAGAAGAGGAGGAGGAAGAGGAGGAGGAAGAGGAGGAAGAAGAGGAGGAGGAAGAGGAAGAGGAAGAGGAAGAAGAAGAGGAGGAGAUGAUGAAGAUUCUCAAUGUGCAUGCCCACAGCAUACAUCUAGACAAUCCCUCACUGAGAGUCUUUUCCCAGGUAAUUUUAUACUGAGUCAAAGUUGCACCAGUGGGAUUGCUCCGUGGGUAGAGGUGUUUAUAGGUAGGCCUAGCAUCCUGAGAUCACUGGAUUCCACAAGGUAACAGGACAGAACUGGCUCUUCAAAGUUGACCUCUGACUGCCACAUGCUGCGGCACCAGCAAAAGGCAAACCUGUGUGCACACAUGUGCACACACAAGUAAAAUUUGAAAUUAGAUUGCGUUAGUUAACAAUACUAACCAUUUACUGGGCAACUUAUGAAGAAGAAUGCUUUAUUUCUUACUGUCAUAGAGGCUUAAAAGUUCAAGGAAUAAAGUGCUGACAUCUAGUCAGAGCAUCCUUGCCUGUUAGAAUGUGGCAGAGGGUAUCACAGAGCAAAGGAAGUGCACAUGAGACAAAGAAAAAUCAGGUCAGAGUCGCUGUUCCUAGACUACUCCUAUGAUAACUGACUAACCACCUCUAGCUUUCAUCUAGUCACUUUUUAUUAUUUUACUUUAUACAUAAGGUUACUUUGCCUGCAUGUAUGUCUGUGCAUCGUGUGUUGGUGUCCACAGAAACCAGAAGAGGUGUCAUCUCCCCUGAAGCUGGAGUUACAGAUGGCUAUGAGCCACUGUAAGGUGCUGGGAGCUGAAUCUGUGUUCCUUGGAAGAGCAGCCAGUGCUCUUGACUCCUAAGCCAUCUCUGCAGUCUUACUAAUCUAGUCAUGUCUUAAAGGUCCCACUUUUUUAAUAUUGUAACCAACCUGACAGCAAAGAGGUAGUUUCUCAAGUCUUUAACCAAAAUGACUAAACCUACUAGAAACCACUUACAGUGUAUGUUACAUACAGAGAAAUGGGUCAGGGGUCAGCGCUGACAAAAUCCACAGCUGGUUCUCAGGUUCUACUACUUGAUAGAUUUGCCUCUGAGUAAACUGUUUAAUCUCUCUGUCCUUGGUUUUUCCCUUUCAUAAUAUCUAGGGGAAGAUGACUUUAAGGUUAUCCUAUGGACAAGUGUAACAUUUCUAACAUUUCUAAUUUGUUCCAUGGUAUUCAAAACAAAAGGUAUUCAAAUUACUGCCAUUUGAAAGGAGUUAAUUUUCUGUUUCAUAAUGUUUUUAUGCAUCUAAUUAUACAUUUCCUGAUCGUCAAUUUGUUGCUCUUCCAACAAUGAAAGAGCAGCAGCUACAAGCUAAGAUGCGAACUGUCCUUAUCUCAGAAUUGGAAUGAUAGUUUAUUACUAAUCAGUGGCAUAUGCAGGGUAGUACUAUGUCCAACCACCUCCCCAUGAUGGACUGAAUUGUGUCUCUGUACUCAACCAAGUUCUCAUGGUGAAAUUCUAAUUCCCAGUUCCUCAAGGUGAGACAUUAUUUGGAAAUGGGGACAUUGCAAAAUGAAAUCGUUGGGGUGGAUCCUAAUCCAGAAUGGCUGGUGGCUAUUGUCUCUACAGAAAAGGGGAAGUUUGGUCACAAAUGCUGGUACAUAGAAGGAGCAGAUAACAUAAGGACAUGCUGGGCUGGCUUUCUUGUGGCAUCAAUGACUUGGAUGCCCAGUGGCGAGUAAACUGUGAGCCCUCUGAGCCACAUCCCUCCAGUGCUUUGAAGUUCAAAUGCUGCACCAAGGCCUGGACUAUGGUGAAGCACUUGCUAGGCCAGCCUGUACUCUGACAUUCCCAGGAGCUGAUUUCCUCUGCCUUUUGGCAGAAGUAUCCAAAUUGCUAGGACAAACCUGGCUCAACUGAAGCCAUGUCACCCUGAAAGGUGACUCCUGACCAACAGCUUCCAUGUAGGAGAUGUCUAACCAAGACUAGCAUGUCCCACUGGAUGGAUUGGCUCCCCACCAAUGUUUUGUUUCCAAACAACACUGCUCACUCAUUGCACACCCCAGAGGACAUUCAGAACCAGACUGUAGCCAUCUUUCCCUGGAACACCAACCAUGCCUGGCUGAUGGUGGUAAAGAAAGUGUGAAUUUACUGUGUGAAUUCUGACAAAAUGUCAGACAUAAACCCUCUGGGAAUUCUGGGUCACCACAGCUGUCUAGGAAUUUGGUCUGACCCAGUUCAAAAGCAAUUUGAUGAACACAGGAGCAUUGAAUACCUUAUGCUUCGAGUCUCUCUGUUUUCCCUCUCUGAUUUUAAGAUCUAGAAAGAUAUCCAGUGACUUAGUCAUUCCUGCCUAGAUAAUCUCUCCAGUUUAAGGUCGACUGACCUUUGACCUUAGUUAUCAAUGCAAAAUACCUUCAUUACAGCUCCUGGAUUAUGCCUGAUAUGCUGGUCUGUGUCCACCAGGGUAAGAAAUAUUGGGGUCAUCUUACACAUUCUUUAGUUAAACUGACCUUCUCGUUUCAAAUCCACUUCAGAUUUAAGGCUGGUAGUUUAUAAUUGGAGAAAGGAUAAUUUGGCUUGUCUGCCCAAGAGACAUCUGGUCGCAUCCAGAGACUGUUGGGAGCGAUGCCUUUGAAGCCCUCCAUUAUUGAUGUUAUUAUUAUGGUUAUCGUUAAGUAUGACUGGGUUCAUGGAAAAUCCCCAGCCAGCAACAGAAGACUAAUACAAAUGUGGUGGUUAAGAUGAAUAAUCAUAUGAUAACAUCUGAUGUUAAGAUACCCAAUGUGAUGACCUGUAACCUUUCUAAAAAACCAACAUCCUGCUGACUAAGAGAUAUGACAAACCUGUGACCUUUCUGACAUCCUGUCAACAUCAGCCUACUCCCUGACCACAUGAAUAUUGUGUCCUUGGCCUGCAUAAAUGUUUCUUAUUCCCCCCCUCCCUCUGUUACCCAUGUUAUGGUAUAAAUUCAGCCUUGAGGAAAAAUAAAAUUGUCGCCUUGAUCAGA